RNAcentral lists this small RNA (27 nucleotides) under Bombyx mori (domestic silkworm). Its description in RNAcentral is "ovarian small RNA-11542". The record is from RNAcentral. Lineage: Eukaryota; Metazoa; Arthropoda; Insecta; Lepidoptera; Bombycidae.
ACGGAAAGAAGUUGCCUAGGUAUAAAC